This 2904-nucleotide ribosomal RNA is filed under the name Escherichia coli. Its description in RNAcentral is "23S ribosomal RNA". It matches the Rfam family "Bacterial large subunit ribosomal RNA". Lineage: Bacteria; Pseudomonadati; Pseudomonadota; Gammaproteobacteria; Enterobacterales; Enterobacteriaceae. The record is from RNAcentral.
GGUUAAGCGACUAAGCGUACACGGUGGAUGCCCUGGCAGUCAGAGGCGAUGAAGGACGUGCUAAUCUGCGAUAAGCGUCGGUAAGGUGAUAUGAACCGUUAUAACCGGCGAUUUCCGAAUGGGGAAACCCAGUGUGAUUCGUCACACUAUCAUUAACUGAAUCCAUAGGUUAAUGAGGCGAACCGGGGGAACUGAAACAUCUAAGUACCCCGAGGAAAAGAAAUCAACCGAGAUUCCCCCAGUAGCGGCGAGCGAACGGGGAGCAGCCCAGAGCCUGAAUCAGUGUGUGUGUUAGUGGAAGCGUCUGGAAAGGCGCGCGAUACAGGGUGACAGCCCCGUACACAAAAAUGCACAUACUGUGAGCUCGAUGAGUAGGGCGGGACACGUGGUAUCCUGUCUGAAUAUGGGGGGACCAUCCUCCAAGGCUAAAUACUCCUGACUGACCGAUAGUGAACCAGUACCGUGAGGGAAAGGCGAAAAGAACCCCGGCGAGGGGAGUGAAAAAGAACCUGAAACCGUGUACGUACAAGCAGUGGGAGCACGCUUAGGCGUGUGACUGCGUACCUUUUGUAUAAUGGGUCAGCGACUUAUAUUCUGUAGCAAGGUUAACCGAAUAGGGGAGCCGAAGGGAAACCGAGUCUUAACUGGGCGUUAAGUUGCAGGGUAUAGACCCGAAACCCGGUGAUCUAGCCAUGGGCAGGUUGAAGGUUGGGUAACACUAACUGGAGGACCGAACCGACUAAUGUUGAAAAAUUAGCGGAUGACUUGUGGCUGGGGGUGAAAGGCCAAUCAAACCGGGAGAUAGCUGGUUCUCCCCGAAAGCUAUUUAGGUAGCGCCUCGUGAAUUCAUCUCCGGGGGUAGAGCACUGUUUCGGCAAGGGGGUCAUCCCGACUUACCAACCCGAUGCAAACUGCGAAUACCGGAGAAUGUUAUCACGGGAGACACACGGCGGGUGCUAACGUCCGUCGUGAAGAGGGAAACAACCCAGACCGCCAGCUAAGGUCCCAAAGUCAUGGUUAAGUGGGAAACGAUGUGGGAAGGCCCAGACAGCCAGGAUGUUGGCUUAGAAGCAGCCAUCAUUUAAAGAAAGCGUAAUAGCUCACUGGUCGAGUCGGCCUGCGCGGAAGAUGUAACGGGGCUAAACCAUGCACCGAAGCUGCGGCAGCGACGCUUAUGCGUUGUUGGGUAGGGGAGCGUUCUGUAAGCCUGUGAAGGUGUACUGUGAGGUAUGCUGGAGGUAUCAGAAGUGCGAAUGCUGACAUAAGUAACGAUAAAGCGGGUGAAAAGCCCGCUCGCCGGAAGACCAAGGGUUCCUGUCCAACGUUAAUCGGGGCAGGGUGAGUCGACCCCUAAGGCGAGGCCGAAAGGCGUAGUCGAUGGGAAACAGGUUAAUAUUCCUGUACUUGGUGUUACUGCGAAGGGGGGACGGAGAAGGCUAUGUUGGCCGGGCGACGGUUGUCCCGGUUUAAGCGUGUAGGCUGGUUUUCCAGGCAAAUCCGGAAAAUCAAGGCUGAGGCGUGAUGACGAGGCACUACGGUGCUGAAGCAACAAAUGCCCUGCUUCCAGGAAAAGCCUCUAAGCAUCAGGUAACAUCAAAUCGUACCCCAAACCGACACAGGUGGUCAGGUAGAGAAUACCAAGGCGCUUGAGAGAACUCGGGUGAAGGAACUAGGCAAAAUGGUGCCGUAACUUCGGGAGAAGGCACGCUGAUAUGUAGGUGAAGUCCCUCGCGGAUGGAGCUGAAAUCAGUCGAAGAUACCAGCUGGCUGCAACUGUUUAUUAAAAACACAGCACUGUGCAAACACGAAAGUGGACGUAUACGGUGUGACGCCUGCCCGGUGCCGGAAGGUUAAUUGAUGGGGUCAGCGCAAGCGAAGCUCUUGAUCGAAGCCCCGGUAAACGGCGGCCGUAACUAUAACGGUCCUAAGGUAGCGAAAUUCCUUGUCGGGUAAGUUCCGACCUGCACGAAUGGCGUAAUGAUGGCCAGGCUGUCUCCACCCGAGACUCAGUGAAAUUGAACUCGCUGUGAAGAUGCAGUGUACCCGCGGCAAGACGGAAAGACCCCGUGAACCUUUACUAUAGCUUGACACUGAACAUUGAGCCUUGAUGUGUAGGAUAGGUGGGAGGCUUUGAAGUGUGGACGCCAGUCUGCAUGGAGCCGACCUUGAAAUACCACCCUUUAAUGUUUGAUGUUCUAACGUGGACCCGUAAUCCGGGUUGCGGACAGUGUCUGGUGGGUAGUUUGACUGGGGCGGUCUCCUCCUAAAGAGUAACGGAGGAGCACGAAGGUUGGCUAAUCCUGGUCGGACAUCAGGAGGUUAGUGCAAUGGCAUAAGCCAGCUUGACUGCGAGCGUGACGGCGCGAGCAGGUGCGAAAGCAGGUCAUAGUGAUCCGGUGGUUCUGAAUGGAAGGGCCAUCGCUCAACGGAUAAAAGGUACUCCGGGGAUAACAGGCUGAUACCGCCCAAGAGUUCAUAUCGACGGCGGUGUUUGGCACCUCGAUGUCGGCUCAUCACAUCCUGGGGCUGAAGUAGGUCCCAAGGGUAUGGCUGUUCGCCAUUUAAAGUGGUACGCGAGCUGGGUUUAGAACGUCGUGAGACAGUUCGGUCCCUAUCUGCCGUGGGCGCUGGAGAACUGAGGGGGGCUGCUCCUAGUACGAGAGGACCGGAGUGGACGCAUCACUGGUGUUCGGGUUGUCAUGCCAAUGGCACUGCCCGGUAGCUAAAUGCGGAAGAGAUAAGUGCUGAAAGCAUCUAAGCACGAAACUUGCCCCGAGAUGAGUUCUCCCUGACUCCUUGAGAGUCCUGAAGGAACGUUGAAGACGACGACGUUGAUAGGCCGGGUGUGUAAGCGCAGCGAUGCGUUGAGCUAACCGGUACUAAUGAACCGUGAGGCUUAACCUU